RNAcentral lists this ribosomal RNA (301 nucleotides) under uncultured bacterium. RNAcentral describes it as "partial 16S ribosomal RNA". It matches the Rfam family "Bacterial small subunit ribosomal RNA", at positions 509 to 808 of the family's 1533-position model. The record is from RNAcentral.
CAGUAGCCGCGGUAAUACGUAGGUGGCAAGCGUUGUCCGGAAUUAUUGGGCGUAAAGCGCGCGCAGGCGGAUCAGUCAGUCUGUCUUAAAAGUUCGGGGCUUAACCCCGUGAUGGGAUGGAAACUGCUGAUCUAGAGUAUCGGAGAGGAAAGUGGAAUUCCUAGUGUAGCGGUGAAAUGCGUAGAUAUUGGGAAGAACACCAGUGGCGAAGGCGACUUUCUGGACGAAAACUGACGCUGAGGCGCGAAAGCCAGGGGAGCAAAUGGGAUUAGAUACCCCUGUAGUCCCUGUCUCUUAUACC